Neopsephotus bourkii (Bourke's parrot) is the source of this 2223-nucleotide long non-coding RNA. RefSeq lists it as uncharacterized. NCBI's taxonomy places the organism in Eukaryota, Metazoa, Chordata, Aves, Psittaciformes, Psittacidae. The record is from RefSeq and is a predicted model, not a curated record. The transcript is spliced from 5 exons.
UGAAAGCCCUAGUUGUUGGAGGGAAGAAAUUUCUGUGAGAUCUCAUAGAUUUGAUUUCAGGGUGAAUCUCAUGAUGUUUUAUGUACUGCUAGCUGCAUAGGUCUUGUGGCACAAGCAUCUGGACACACAGUAGCUCGGCUGGGAAGCUGUAGGUGCGAUCCACCUGUGGUUGCUACAUAUGAAAAUUCCAGCCAAAUUAUGUUAAAAAAAAAAAAAAAAAAGAAAGAAAACCACGAACUCUUUAAGUUUCUUACAUAUGUGCUUUGGAAAGCCGUGAGAAGUGGAUGUUCUCUCUGAGCUCCACCAGCAACUGAAAACAAGGGGAAUCUAUUUCACCAUCAGCAUGAAUAAAUUAUAACCAAAUACACAUGGGGCACGUAUCUGUCACAUAAGAGAAGCCACUUUUUUUCCUUGUCACUUUUCAAAUAAAAUUGCCAUCUAAUCUAAAAUACAGCAUUCUGGCGGAAAGUCUGUAAAUUCUCUUUGUACAAGGAGAUGUAGCAAAGUUUGUAGCCCAACUUGUUAUAAAAACACAGAAGUUAAAAAUAACUGUAGAGUUAGGGAGCGGAAUCCAGCUCUAAAUGGGUGGCCCAGUUUGCUCUCACAUUCAAGUAUUAUAAACAGAAAGCAACCCUUUUGUUUUCAGGCUGCUGCUGAUAGCUUUUUGUCUUGCCAUGGGGAAAUGUUGGCACUCCCCUAUCAUCUGACAACUCUCAACUAUUUUUGUUUGCAAGAGGUGUGUGUCAAUGAAAUACCAGUAUCAUUUUGACUGCAAGCAGCACAUCACUGUGAAGGUGUUUUUUCUGUGGAAGAGAGAGUAGCAUUUUUUGUUGCAGAAGAUUGGAAAGAUUUCUGCAGGAACUUUGCAAGGAGCUCACUACACUUUUAUUCAGGGCCUUCCACAGGACUUGUUGAGGCUCUGGCCAGUGGACAGAAUUGCUGCUGGGAGAUAGAUUAACUCCUGAUCCCACUUUGACAGGCAUGAGGGCUGCAUGAAUUACAUUGCCUAGUGUUUAGGGUGGAGCAGUUCUGGAAGAUUCAUCCCAGCUGUGUCUCACACCAGGUGGCAAAACAAACUCUAAAGGGCUGAGGGGCUGUAGAUUCCUUUUUUUUCCUGCUGUGCUGUGCAUGGGGGCUGCAGUUUGUAAUUGCUGCUCUCCUUGUUGUGCUGUGGAGAAGGUUGAGGCUCUGAAGGAGGAGGGUAAGAGUAGGACUUUUACAGAAUCCUUUAACUCCAGAAAAGGUAGUAAGAAUCUUGAACCACAGGACUUGAGAGCUGGAGCACUCAUAAGAGACGAAGCUGCUACAACUUGCCUCCCCAGCUCCCAGAGCCAAGCAGCCUUUGCUGCCAAAAGCAUUCUUCCACCGCAACAUGCACAGCAGGUGACAUAGGACUGGAAGAACUAAGGAUUAUGAAGAGGCCUGUGAUAUAGACCUUUCUGCAUGAAUCGAUAAGUUCUGGAGCUGAUGCUGUUACUGAAUUGAGCUGCCAAAGAUUCAGACUCAAAACACUCCAUGGAAAUAAAAUCCAGUGAAACAUCAACCUGUUGGAGGAAGAUAUAGAUUGUGUAAGAUUUAGGGGUUAUUAGAGCCACUGAAAACUGUACACAAUUACUCUAACAAGUAAAAAAUGGUAAAAGGGUGACAGAAUGGAAAAUGAUUUUCUGUUUGCUCUCUGGAAUGAUACUAAUAAGUCUCUUUUGUUUUCAUGAUAUUUUGUUAGAAAUUCUGUUCAAAUGGCACAGCUGGCAACAGCUGUCUGUAGUACGAACUGUCUAUUUUAGUGCGUUUAAUUGUGUGGUGGCUUAAGUUAAAAACAUUACACAUUCAAAGUAUAUUUUUUUGCAUGCAGGCUUUAAAGAGCAGUUAGUAUCUCAGCAGAAUGUCUUUCAUUUAUGUUAUGUUAUUGUUGUCCUCUGUGCUGGACAGACUGUAUUGUACUAGAUGUGCCCUGAAUAAGAGCAAAAACAUAGUUUAUGCUCCAAACGCAUUUAUAGUAUAAGAGCAAAAAACAAUAGGCUGUGAAAAAGGAAUAGUUGGUAGAGCAAUGAACAAGCAAUAAAACUAACAGACAGAGGUCUUAGUAUGGUAGCUGUCAAACCAUUACUGCUUUGCUUACAGUGCUGUGAUAAUAAUCUCAAAGCAGUUGUAUCAGCUCCUUCCACAAAGACAUACAGUGUUAGAUCAAAAACUAUGUCAGAGUGCUACAGUUUUCUCUAGGAG